UCCUAAUAACUUAUUAAUGAGAUCUAGAUGAAAAUCCCUGUCUGGGAUUCUUAACUACCUUGAGGGUCAGAGAUUCUUUUGAGAAUCAGAGGAAGGCAAUGAACUCCAAGCCUGGGAGGUAGGGGGAGCCAAAGAAGGCAGGAAGUACAUAUGUGCAGACAAAACUCUGCAUAGAAUCAGGCAGUCUAUGCCCAAACUUCAGAACCCUAGCGCUGCUUGAUUCCCUUCAGUUGCAGAUAUUGGUGGCUGGAACCAAGGGCCAGGCCCCAGAAAAGUUUCACAGAAGGGACAGACAUAGGGCCAAAUUGGACCCUCCGAUCCACACCGUGUUAUCUCUGAGAUGUGUGUCCAGAUUCAUAGCAUGACUUACCAAAAGCUUGAUGAUCUGACUCCUUCUUUACCUGCAGGCUCAUGCCCUGGCA
This is a long non-coding RNA of Lemur catta (Ring-tailed lemur), 422 nucleotides long. RefSeq lists it as uncharacterized. The record is from RefSeq and is a predicted model, not a curated record. Lineage: Eukaryota; Metazoa; Chordata; Mammalia; Primates; Lemuridae. The transcript has 4 exons.